This is a long non-coding RNA of Aedes aegypti (yellow fever mosquito), 1368 nucleotides long. RefSeq lists it as uncharacterized. The transcript has 2 exons. The record is from RefSeq and is a predicted model, not a curated record. NCBI's taxonomy places the organism in Eukaryota, Metazoa, Arthropoda, Insecta, Diptera, Culicidae.
CGCUUUUUCUCGUACGCAAACGGUAGGGAAGCACGUGGUUGUUUCGGUUUUGUUACAUGAAUGAAAAGAAGCCAUGCGCACUGAGGCCUUCCGUAAGGUCCUGUUGCAUAUAUUUGUCAUACAGAUCGUCGAAGUACAUAGCUCGGCUUGUCCCGUCGAAGAACCGUUGAACACAUGACAGAUAGCAGAGUUUAUUUGAUUGAAAUAUUCAGCAGAUUCCGUUGUUACAGUGAAGAAGAAUGGUUCUUUGUGUCGUCCGUGCGUAUCCUUGAUGAAGACAGUUUUCCAGACGGAUAUAGUUGAACCCGCACGAUUGGUAUCCUGCUCCUCGUCCACCCCUUGCAUCAGAGCGCUCUGAGUCUCAAGGAAACAAAUCACUCCUACGGUUGAUGCUCGAAGGUAGUAAGGAAGGCAGAUUCAGUUGUUAACCAGGAAAAGAGGUAUCCGGCAUUCAAAUCGGUGAUUACGUAUUCAAUUACGGUUUCCCGAUUGCUUGCCGUAAUGAGCCGAAAUUGAGUUGUAAUUAAUGUCGUUAAUUAUAAAUGAGCCGACUCAAGUAAAGUUUUCUCCUCAAGAGGCUUUUGAACUCAUCCGAAUUGAACUUCUUUUUCAGCCAUCAUUCAAGGAUGUAAGAAGUGUGCAUUCCAGUGUUCAAAUCAAGAAUCAUAAGAAUUGAAGUUGUGUCAAACCAUUUUGAUUGAUGAUAACAUGGGGUUGUGCUACAUCAAGAGGAAAUGGUUUGACAUCAAUUUGUUGUGUUAUAUAUUUCAUUUAGUUGAAUGUUAUUUCAGGAAGCUAACUCUGUCUUUGUAUUUCCAGCGAGGAAUAUCAACAGCGAUGUACGUACUGUCCGGCCGAUAGCAGUCCAGCUCCCUGCCCACCGGACUGUUUCUGUAAGCGACCGCCAGAUGAUGCAUCCGAUAGGGUUUGAAUCGAGUAUAAGAAACUAUUUUGGGAUGAUGCAAAGUAAAAGUCAUUUUAUCUGUGAAAAAAGCUUAUCUCUAAUCUACGGAAGCGUUAACGCUGUAUGUAUUUGAUUUUAAUUUCCUAUCAAGUCCUAAUGCAAAUUUUCGCAAGUAGUAAAUCUAGCAUGUCAUGUUGAAUUUGAUGUAAUUUGUAAAUGAAUAGCAAUUUUUAGAAUAGUGCUAGAUGAUAAGACUUUUCGGCAGUUGUAAGAUGCUUAUGAAUUGCAGCAAAAUACUUCGUAAGUUUAAUGUAUCAAUAUCAAUGUUCGCUUCAAUCUAUCUUCCCAAAUAAUUACAUUCAUUAAAUGGAAAUGUAACAAGGGGCUGCAUAUCGUUGUGAUGGAUUAUCACUACAUAAUCGUAUUUAAAUUCAAUAAAAAAAUAAUUAUUCAUAACCCCAAAA